This is a long non-coding RNA of Mesocricetus auratus (golden hamster), 577 nucleotides long. RefSeq lists it as uncharacterized. NCBI's taxonomy places the organism in Eukaryota, Metazoa, Chordata, Mammalia, Rodentia, Cricetidae. The transcript has 4 exons. The record is from RefSeq and is a predicted model, not a curated record.
CAGUUGGCAGAUAAGCCUGGUGCCGGCUGAGAGGCAGUCCUUGGAGACUGGCCACCGCAGUGGUAAGCCCUUCUGGACACACUGGCCACUGCAGACCUGGGAACGACUGGGCAAGUCCCAUUUCUUCAAGGGAGACAGCUCCUAAGCCAUCACAGGUUCCUGCCCUGUUUGAGUUCCUGCCCUGACAUUCUUCAGGACGGACUGUGACGCGGAAAGUGCAAGCUGAAUAAACCCUGUCCUCCCCAUGUUGCUGUGGGUCGUGGUGUUUCAUCACUGCAAUAGGAACUCCAGGCAGCAAAGCUGCUGCCACUAGCUUCACUUUACAGCCAUGGAUGGCGACUUCAAUCUGAAAGUCCUGCUGCUCCUCCAGUCGCUGAUUCCUCUCUUUGACAGCAAGGACGGCACCCGACCUAUCAUCUAUCUGGAGACACAAGCACACAGCGGCCUUCAGAAGAGAGCAAGACUUAGCUUCUCUGACAGAGCACCCCAGGAACAGCCAGCAAGUGAUUGUAAACCAUUUUGUAACUAUUAAGUGUCCCUUUGAUGUUGCAUAGGAAUAAUAAUUUUUUUUCAAGUC